RNAcentral lists this unclassified non-coding RNA (254 nucleotides) under uncultured Acidimicrobiia bacterium. RNAcentral's name for it is "contains 16S-23S intergenic spacer region". It matches the Rfam family "Bacterial small subunit ribosomal RNA", at positions 524 to 776 of the family's 1533-position model. The record is from RNAcentral. Lineage: Bacteria; Bacillati; Actinomycetota; Acidimicrobiia.
UACGUAGGGGGCGAGCGUUGUCCGGAUUUAUUGGGCGUAAAGAGCUCGUAGACGGUUUAGCAAGUCGGGUGUGAAAACGCCGGGCUCAACCCGGAGAGGCCACGCCAUACUGCUAUGACUCGAGUCCGGUAGGGGAGUGCGGAAUUCCUGGUGUAGCGGUGAAAUGCGCAGAUAUCAGGAGGAACACCGGUGGCGAAGGCGGCACUCUGGGCCGGUACUGACGCUGAGGAGCGAAAGCGUGGUGAGCGAACAGG